GAACCCCCGGCCGCCCCCCGAGGGCAGGGGCAGGCAUCCCUACCCCAGCAGGUAGCCCAGCGCGCUCAGCUGCAGCAGCCGGUGCAGGAGCCCCACCCGCCGGUUCCGCGUCAGCGAGAACUUGGCCGUCUUGUAGUCGAGCAGGAGCCCGCAGGGCGAGCCCGGCAUGGCGGCACGGAGGGGGAAAGGCGGGCACGGAGCGGGGACAGAGGCCACGGGGUGCGGGGUUGGCGAACACCCGCGAGGAACUGAGGACUCGGCGGGUGGGGGCACCCCCGGCACUGCGGCUCGGCCCGCCCCCGUUGCCAUGGCAGCGGCGCGGCCCGGCCGGAGAUGGCGGCGGGCGGAGUGGGCCGCAACGAGCUGGGCGGGCCGUCCCCUCCGUCACCCUGAGCCCGAACCACAGCCACACAGUCACUGAGGGGUCUGGGUUGGAAGGAACCGUAAAGCCCAUCCAGCCGCACCCCCUGCCACAGGGAGGGACACUUUCCGCUAGACCAGGUUGUGUUUUAUAAUCACAAGGUCAUGGCCAUGCUUCUGUUUAACUGUAAAUAUUUUUGAAAUUAGAAUUCCCACUGACAGAGAGCAGGAUUCUGGGAGCAAUACAGGCUUCAAUGUCAAGGUCAGGAUUCAGAGCAUCUUCCUUCCUGUGCUGUCCAAAGAAGAGAUGCAAAUUAAAGUCCUAUGAAAAAAUACACCAAGGAGAAGAUCCACUUGGCUCUGCCUUGACACACAUGGAUUCAUUAGUCACUGAAGUCAGAGCUGGGUGGUUUUAGGCUCAAUAUACCUAUCAGCAUACCAUUUAGGAACCUAAAAACACCAGGAUAUCAAGCAUGCUGCCAUGCCCAGAGGCGCCUUGGCUCUUGUCCCAGCAAGGAUUGAAACCCACAGUGCUGCCCUAAAAUGCUUCCAGUCUAGCAAGGGAAGCAUGGGAUCAUGAGAAAUCAGCCAUCCUGGCUCCAGAGGAACUGCAACCCCUUCCCUCUGAUGGACGACUGAUGUUUCCUAACCUCAGACCAAGCUGUCAUUGCCUCAAGAAGUGUUUCUGAUCUCUUGCCUAAAUCUCCCUCAUGACAGUUGCAGUCCGUUGCUUCAUGCUGUGUCUCCUGUGCACAUGGGGAAGAUUUGUUCUCCUUUUAUAGAAUCUGUAAGGUUGGAAAAGACUUCUAAGAUCACUGA
This is a long non-coding RNA of Pipra filicauda (Wire-tailed manakin), 1179 nucleotides long. RefSeq lists it as uncharacterized. The transcript has 3 exons. Lineage: Eukaryota; Metazoa; Chordata; Aves; Passeriformes; Pipridae. The record is from RefSeq and is a predicted model, not a curated record.